UACAGAGGGUGCAAGCGUUGUUCGGAAUUACUGGGCGUAAAGCGCGUGUAGGUGGCGAUGUAAGUCGGGUGUGAAAUCCCUCAGCUUAACUGAGGAAGUGCACUCGAUACUGUGUCGCUUGAGUGUUGGAGGGGAUGGCGGAAUUCCCGGUGUAGAGGUGAAAUUCGUAGAUAUCCGGAGGAACCCCAGAGGCGAAGGCGGCAGCCUGGUUGGCUCCUGACGCUCGGACACGACAGCAUGGGGAGCGAACGGG
RNAcentral lists this ribosomal RNA (253 nucleotides) under uncultured bacterium. RNAcentral describes it as "partial 16S ribosomal RNA". It matches the Rfam family "Bacterial small subunit ribosomal RNA", at positions 524 to 776 of the family's 1533-position model. The record is from RNAcentral.